AAUGAACGCUGGCGGCGUGCCUAACACAUGCAAGUCGGAUGUGCCCGCAAGGGUGCAUGGCAGACGGGUGAGUAACGCGUGGGGAAUCUACCUUUUAGUGGGGAAUAACGCUCCGAAAGGAGUGGUAAUACCGCAUGUGACCAUUGGCUGGGAUGUUGAUGGUGAAACCCUGGGACCUUCGGGCCAGGGGCUAAAAGAGGAUCCUGCGUCUGAUUAGCUAGUUGGCGGGGUAACGGCCCACCAAGGCGACGAUCAGUAGCCGGCCUGAGAGGGUGAUCGGCCACACUGGAACUGAGACACGGUCCAGACUCCUACGGGAGGCAGCAGUGGGGAAUUUUGCGCAAUGGACGAAAGUCUGACGCAGCAACGCCGCGUGGGUGAUGAAGGUCUUCGGAUUGUAAAACCCUGUCGCCAGGGACGAAGGGUGAGGUGUGAAUAGCGCCUUACUUUGACGGUACCUGGAAAGGAAGCCCCGGCUAACUCUGUGCCAGCAG
Molecule: ribosomal RNA, 494 nt
Filed under: uncultured bacterium
Lineage: Bacteria
Description: bacterial SSU rRNA
Rfam family: Bacterial small subunit ribosomal RNA
Source: RNAcentral